ACACAACCUGAGCAACAGAGAGGGACCAAAUUCCCUCUUCAGGACAUUGCUGCUCAUGUUUCUGAGCUUCCAAGACAGCUGGAAUUGCAGCAAAAUGAGGAGGGUGUCCUGGCCUCUAAAGGCAGCAAGCAAAAAGCAGAGUGUGGAGAAACCAGCAGGUCCCAAUCUCCAGCUGCUACUAUGAAGCAUCAUCGAGACAGUCAUAUUUUUUAGGGGCUCAGAGCACUCUCAGCUCCAAGCAAAGUCAAUGAGAGAUGCAGUUGCUUUGUUCUGCUGCAAAUAUAUCCUAUUAGUGCCUACUUUUUUUUUUAUGCUUUAUUAGUGCUUUAUCCUGUGCCAAAUGCUAAAACCCCUCAACCCCUGCUGAGGGCGGUGGAAUUUAGGA
Pipra filicauda (Wire-tailed manakin) is the source of this 385-nucleotide long non-coding RNA. RefSeq lists it as uncharacterized. Lineage: Eukaryota; Metazoa; Chordata; Aves; Passeriformes; Pipridae. The transcript is spliced from 3 exons. The record is from RefSeq and is a predicted model, not a curated record.